Molecule: ribosomal RNA, 653 nt
Filed under: Salmonella enterica
Lineage: Bacteria; Pseudomonadati; Pseudomonadota; Gammaproteobacteria; Enterobacterales; Enterobacteriaceae
Description: bacterial SSU rRNA
Rfam family: Bacterial small subunit ribosomal RNA
Source: RNAcentral
AAAUUGAAGAGUUUGAUCAUGGCUCAGAUUGAACGCUGGCGGCAGGCCUAACACAUGCAAGUCGAACGGUAACAGGAAGCAGCUUGCUGCUUUGCUGACGAGUGGCGGACGGGUGAGUAAUGUCUGGGAAACUGCCUGAUGGAGGGGGAUAACUACUGGAAACGGUGGCUAAUACCGCAUAAUGUCGCAAGACCAAAGAGGGGGACCUUCGGGCCUCUUGCCAUCAGAUGUGCCCAGAUGGGAUUAGCUUGUUGGUGAGGUAACGGCUCACCAAGGCGACGAUCCCUAGCUGGUCUGAGAGGAUGACCAGCCACACUGGAACUGAGACACGGUCCAGACUCCUACGGGAGGCAGCAGUGGGGAAUAUUGCACAAUGGGCGCAAGCCUGAUGCAGCCAUGCCGCGUGUAUGAAGAAGGCCUUCGGGUUGUAAAGUACUUUCAGCGGGGAGGAAGGUGUUGUGGUUAAUAACCGCAGCAAUUGACGUUACCCGCAGAAGAAGCACCGGCUAACUCCGUGCCAGCAGCCGCGGUAAUACGGAGGGUGCAAGCGUUAAUCGGAAUUACUGGGCGUAAAGCGCACGCAGGCGGUCUGUCAAGUCGGAUGUGAAAUCCCCGGGCUCAACCUGGGAACUGCAUUCGAAACUGGCAGGCUU